AAAAUCCGUUGGCUUUAUUGACCGUGAGGGUUCAAGUCCCUCUACCCCCAAAACUAUAAAACCCCCA
This 67-nucleotide transfer RNA is filed under the name Brachythecium frigidum. RNAcentral describes it as "partial tRNA-Leu". The record is from RNAcentral. Lineage: Eukaryota; Viridiplantae; Streptophyta; Bryopsida; Hypnales; Brachytheciaceae.